Long non-coding RNA from Neofelis nebulosa (Clouded leopard), 1450 nucleotides. RefSeq lists it as uncharacterized. The transcript has 4 exons. The record is from RefSeq and is a predicted model, not a curated record. NCBI's taxonomy places the organism in Eukaryota, Metazoa, Chordata, Mammalia, Carnivora, Felidae.
UUAAGAAGUGGGUGUUCCCUCUCCAACCACUGCCUCCUUCUGUCUGCUGGAUGCAGAACACCCUGAGGCAGCUAGUGAACAGCAGGACCACGAGAUAGAAGCUAGGUCCCCGAAUCAUCCUGUGGAGGCAAAUUGCUCUAAACCAGGAUCAACUGCGCUGACUGUUGCUUGAACCAGGAGCGAAUUUUCAAAAUCCUGAUAUCAGCAAACAUGCGGCUUGGCAAGCUGGGAAUAUUAACCUGAGGUCCCAUCAGGGUUCUUCAUGACUUUAACAUGGUUCAACCAUAGUUAGUAAGGCCGUAUGAUUCUCCCACUUCGGGUGUGAUCCUUGUUGGUACCUGGACUUACAGCAGAUGUACAUAAGAGACAUUACUGUACUGAACAGCAGAAUGCAGAAAUGCAAGACACCGUGGAAGAUUGUCUCCCCACAACAACAUACAAUAGGAAGCUGUAGAAACUGAGAGAUGCACAAAGCGUGGGCGUCAAGUGCUCACGUGAGGCAGCCGAAGCCACAGGUAGAAAGAAAAUGGUAAUGAAAAUUAUUUCAUAGCAACAGGAGAAAUAAGUAAGAAAGGACACAGCAUCUUCAUAGAAUGGAAGCCUCGUGAUACUUACAAAUACGACUAGAAUCUUGUUCCCUCAUUGAAGGACACAACCAUGCAGUACUUGUAUAGAAGUUACCGAAUGUCAUCGUGGUAGUCCUUACGAGAGUAACCAUCAACAAAGUAGGCACACUUAGGAGAAUAGGAAGAUGGCUCCCCAUUCUUCCAGGAACAUGGAUGUCAUAAACCGUGUUUUAAAGGAGUGUGAGAAGACAUUUCCAGACCCUGGGAAGGAAACUGUGGGGAGAGCAGAGAAGGCAAGAGAUCAGGACUCUUAGACAAAGAAUCUGGACCCAUCAUAUCCAAGCACUGGAGAGCCCAUUUGUGAUACCAGAAGUGGCUGCAGAUUGAACGGGAAGAGGGUCCAUCCACUACAGUGACUCAUGCUGCUGGACAUAGCACCCAUAGGAGAUAAGCCCAAUUCUGGCUCCCCUCACCCAGUCAAGGGGUGCUUCUGCCACCAGCAUACUCUCCUAGACAGUUAGGGAGGCUGUGAAUAGAUUUCCGGGUCCCUUGGGAGUCAAGAAAGGGGGCAUAGUCUGUAGAUGGAUCAGAAGUGACGCUUUGGUGGCAGCCAUAAACUUUCUCACCGUGUCUCAUAAAUGAUGAGUAUGUCUUUUCUCCCCAACUGGACUCUAAGCUUCUGGAGACCAGAAACGAGUUUUACUGAGUCAGUGUGGACACAGUAGAUUCAUUUGUUUCCACGAGCCUCACUAGAUGAUCCACUUUUCUCCUUCCCUCAGCCUCCCAUCCCUUGUCUAUUGUUUAUUCAUGGUUUAAACCAUAUAAAAGUGAAUUCUAAAUUAAUGUUGAGGAUUCUAGAUGGCUGAUGUCUUCCCCUUGCUGAA